UACGUGCUCCGGGGUCGGUGAGAAUCCGAACCGGCGGUGAUAGUCCGCGAGCCGCAGCAGGUCAUCACUUCGAUAUCCUGCCCAGGCUGAUCCGGUGCGAUUCCGGGACCGACGGUGAUGCGAUGGCGACGCCAUCGCUAGUCCGGAUGGGAGGCGCACGAC
RNAcentral lists this non-coding RNA (162 nucleotides) under Microbacterium sp. Its description in RNAcentral is "FMN sequence". It matches the Rfam family "FMN riboswitch aptamer (RFN element)". From Rfam's summary of the family: The RFN element is a highly conserved domain that is found frequently in the 5'-untranslated regions of prokaryotic mRNAs that encode for flavin mononucleotide (FMN) biosynthesis and transport proteins. This element is a metabolite-dependent riboswitch that directly binds FMN in the absence of proteins. In Bacillus subtilis, the riboswitch most likely controls gene expression by causing premature transcription termination within the 5' untranslated region of the ribDEAHT operon and precluding access to the ribosome-binding site of ypaA mRNA. RNAcentral also lists the same sequence under 1 other name. Lineage: Bacteria; Bacillati; Actinomycetota; Actinomycetes; Micrococcales; Microbacteriaceae. The record is from RNAcentral.